This 253-nucleotide ribosomal RNA is filed under the name uncultured bacterium. RNAcentral's name for it is "partial 16S ribosomal RNA". It matches the Rfam family "Bacterial small subunit ribosomal RNA", at positions 524 to 776 of the family's 1533-position model. The record is from RNAcentral.
UACGGAGGGUGCGAGCGUUAAUCGGAAUUACUGGUCGUAAAGAGUGCGUAGGUGGUUGAAUAAGUUAUCUGUAAAAUCCCUGGGCUUAACCUGGGCAGGUCAGAUGAUACUGUUUGACUCGAGUAUGGGAGAGGGUAGUGGAAUUUCCGGUGUAGCGGUGAAAUGCGUAGAGAUCGGAAGGAACACCAGUGGCGAAGGCGGCUACCUGGCCUAAUACUGACACUGAGGCACGAAAGCGUGGGGAGCAAACAGG